This 644-nucleotide ribosomal RNA is filed under the name uncultured bacterium. RNAcentral describes it as "bacterial SSU rRNA". The stretch from base 1 to 545 matches the Rfam family "Bacterial small subunit ribosomal RNA", at positions 338 to 873 of the family's 1533-position model. The record is from RNAcentral.
CCUACGGGAGGCAGCAGUAGGGAAUCUUCCACAAUGGGCGAAAGCCUGAUGGAGCAACGCCGCGUGAGUGAUGAAGGCCUUCGGGUUGUAAAACUCUGUCAUUCGGGACGAACCGGAGUCUGAGGAAAUGCAGACUCUCUGACGGUACCGGAGGAGGAAGCCCCGGCUAACUACGUGCCAGCAGCCGCGGUAAUACGUAGGGGGCAAGCGUUGUCCGGAUUCACUGGGCGUAAAGCGCGCGCAGGCGGUGAUGUAAGUCUGAGGUGAAAACCCGAAGCUCAACUUCGGGACUGCCUUGGAUACUGCGUCACUUGAGGAUAGGAGAGGCAAGGGGAAUUCCACGUGUAGCGGUGAAAUGCGUAGAGAUGUGGAGGAACACCUGUGGCGAAGGCGCCUUGCUGGCCUAUUUCUGACGCUGAGGCGCGAAAGCGUGGGGAGCAAACAGGAUUAGAUACCCUGGUAGCCCACGCUGUAAACGAUGAGUGCUAGGUGUAGGUGGGCUCANACCACUCUGUGCGAGACGUACGCGAUAGUCGACGUCCGUUCCGUUCGGGUAGGUUACGGUUCGGCGAGACGUUAGAACGUUACGAAGGAAGUUAGACGGCGUUGAGACGNGCCGACGGACGACGACGAGGGAGGUUAGG